GUGAAUCCCAGGUUCUCGUUGUUCCUAUGAGUGAUGAACCUGCCGCAUGUAGCUUGUUACCUCUAUGUAUGUUCUGUCUCAUCAAAUCCAAACAAGUCGGUAAUCAGUGCAUGGUGAACCUUCUUCAAAAAGAUCCUCGGAUAUAGAAUUCAGAAGAAAAUUUGGUAAUGUAUUUUCAUAAGACAUGCAGAAAUACAAGUGAUCCAUGGAGAACCGUCUUCCAGUGUGAAAUGUCUCCCACAUCUUGGGUCCCUGAAUGGCUGACUACAUAGAACAGAAUAGUCAUUAAGUCAUAACUACUACCAGAUAUAAAACCUGAUGAAGAAACAAAACUUUUUGGCAUUAUCGUCUAGUCUAAGCUAACUAAUAUUGACUUUAAGAAGUGGGAAUUAUUCAUAACAAUAUGGGAUAAUAUUUAUAUUGAAGAUAAUUUUCUUUUACACAUUGGAUUUGCCACAGAAGUAAGAGGGAGGCUGAUGGAUGUGAGAAAUGAAUCCAACAUUCUGCAAGAAACCCACAUGGAGAAAGAGACAGUUUGGUCUUACUAUGGGCCGAUGCCAGCAACCUAGUAUAGAAGAUGAAGAGAAGUCUCCAGCAGCCAUGGAGGAGCUAUUCUCUAACACUGCUUAGAAAGUGGAUCUGUGUGGCCCAAGUGGUAGACUGUGCUCACCAGGAAAACAAGUACUCAGAUCUACUGCUUCUGGGAAAUCUGCAUAAUUGACCAAUGGCCUCAGUGCUACCCCACUGUUAUAAAAUGCACAGGAGACAAGGACUAGAAAGAGAAACCUUCAACAUAUAUAAGACAUGUUUUUCCUUCCAGACAUUUGCCAGGUUAUGAAGCCACAUGUGGUUAAAAUCUAAUAAGCUAAACUCAAAAUAUGCAAAGGCUAGAACUUCCAGGAAGAUGUAACAAAGAUCUGCCAAGUCCAGUGAAGUUGAUACCUCAGUGGUCGUGGGCUGGACCUGAAAGGCAGUGUGAAAUAUUGAGAGGCAUAGUCCUCCUUAAAGCAGAACCCUGCAGCAUGUAUACCAAAGUCACAUCUUCAAAGCUAAUCGCUGUGACCUGUUAUUGAAACAGACAUUUUACUAUGACAUUGAGGUGACCUCUCAUGCCUUUCACCUGUUAACACAGGAGUGGACAGAUACUCACAGGAAAUAAAUAAUGAACUCAGUAGAAAAAAAGACCUAUGAACUGAAAGAGAAUACAAUAGAAAUUAUAUUUAGUAAAGCACAAAGAGAAAAAUGAGUAACAAGAAGAGAACUUUCUAUAUGAUGCAUAUGGAACACAGUCAAGUAAAGACUAAGCAGAGCAUCAUAACAGCCUAUAUGUGGAAACUUCUCUAUUCAUUUAUUACAUUACAUUUGUUUGUAUCCUUUAAUUGUACCCUUACUUUUUAUCCUGUCAGCUUUAUUCUUUCUGGCCAGUAUCAUUUAUGUAAAAAUUGAUAGGUAGGACUGGCUGGGCGCAGUGGCUCACGUCUGUAAUGCCACCACUUUGGGAGGCCGAGGCAGGCGGAUCACCUGAGGUCAGGAGUUUGAGACCAGCCUGGCCACAUGGUGAAACCCUGUCUCUACUAAAAAUAAAAAAAUAAUAAAAAUAAAAAAAAUAGCUGAGCAUGGUGGCGGGUGCCUGUAAUCCCAGCUACUUGUGAGACUGAGACAGGAGAAUCGCUUGAACCUGGGAGGCGGAGUCGCAGUGAGCCAAGAUCAUGCCACUGUUUUCCAGCCUGGGAGACAAGAGCAAAACUCCAUCUCAAAAAAAAAAAAAAUUAAUAGGUAGGACUAACCAGAUGUAUUUCUAUCAAUAUUAUUUUUAAUAUUUUUCUUUUUAAUCAAAAUUUAAAAGUAAAAAUAUGCAUAGGGAAAAUGAGACUAGUAUUUAUUUAUUAGCUAUUUAAUUUCUACCAACUCUAUUAAAUCUUUUGGAAUGUCUUAAAGUAUAAUUUAUAUUUUAGUUUGGAUAAAGACAUAGCUAUAUAUUAACAUGAAUAUGAAGUUAUAUAUUGAUUUAUAUUAUAUUUCCUAUAAAAUCACAUAAUACAUAGUAAGAAUGUAUAAGAUGAUACAAGUCAAAUCAUGGAUGCUUGGAGAUCUUGUGAUGAAGCCUGUUCUUCCCUUGGUAGCUGGGCAUGAUGUGGCCCAUCUUCAUGCUAGGCCAGCAUUCCCUUGCUUCUGUAUACCUAAUUUCUCCUUCUCAGAUGCACUCCCAACAAUGUAUGCAGAAAGCUAAAAAAAUGAAUGAGUGUAGUUAAUAAGAUGCUAUUGAAACUGAGCCCCAAAUCUAGCUCUGAGCACAAUGAUAGCUAAAACUUAAGGAGAGGCAGAUCAAAUAGAUUUCAUCACCAAAGCACAGAAGCAUAUUUGUUCAACAACAGAGCUUUGCAUUUACAAAAGAGAAAAGAGCAUGUUUGGGGUAAUUUAUUUUGAAAUUGCUCUGUCAAAAGCUAAUUUCAUUUUGUUCCAUGAGGCCAAUUUGGCUCAUAUGUUUGUGCUUUGAUAAAGGCAUAGGAAUAAUAUUAAAAUUGUUGCAACUCUACGGAGAUUAUAAAACUUUCUCAAGGCAAAUUUCUUGUCUCUGGAAAGAAAGAAUGGUGAAUAAUGAAUGACGGAAAUUUGAAAAUGAAUUCGUUCAACAAACACUUAUUGAGUGAAUGCUGUGUGCCCGAUGCGUUAAGUCUAAAUCAUCUAGUGCUGCAGUGAGUGAGCCAGGGUGAGAAAACAAUGAAAAGAGCAGACAGGUUGUUAUUCAAAAUGUCUUUUUUUUUCUCCAUGCAAUGUUUCAAAUUUGGAGAGUCAUAGUUUGUUAUUGAUCCAUCAAAUAUUAUGAACUAUAAGACCCCAAUAUACAGUGGCUUAAAAAUAGAGAUAUAUUUACCUCUCACCUAACAUACCAGGGCAUUUCCAGGUUUUAUAGUAGCUUAAUCAUGUCAGGAAACCACACUUCUUUCAUCUUCUACUCCUCUAUCCCUAUAGGCCUUUGCCUAUCAUGUGAAAAAGAGUGUUAACCAGUGGGAAAAAUAAAAAAGAAAAAAGGGAAGAGUAAUUCAUAUCAUUUGAAUUAAAUAACCUAGAAUUUGCACACAUCAUUUCUGCUUCUAUCCUUUUAACCAAAAUAGGAAGUUACGGAACACCUACUGAAGGAGCUGGGCAUAGAGUUUUGCUGGGUAGCCAGGCAGGUUAUUCUUCCCACAAAUGAAAAACACUCAUUUUUAAUGCAAUAACACAGGGAUCUGUGUUACAGGGUAACACGCAGAUCUAUUCAUUCACUAUCGCAAGGUAAAUCCCACAAUUUUUUUUUUUUGAUAAGUAAUUCCACUAGGGGUUUUUAUUUUGGUUUUUUUUUUUUUUUUUUUUUUUUUUUUUUUUUUUUGGACAGAGUCUCGCUUUUCACUCUGUCACCCAGGCUGGAGUGCAGUGGCAUGAUCUCGGCUCACUGCAACCUCGUCCUCCCAGGUUGAAGCAAUUCUCUGGCCUCAGCCUCCCGAGUAGCUGGGACUACAGGCACGUGCCUCCAUGCCCGGCUAAUUUUUUGUAUUUUUUUUAAGUAGAGACAGGGUUUCAUCGUGUUUGCCAGGAUGGUCUCAAACUCCUGACCUCGUGAUCUGCCCGCCUUGGCCUCCCAAAAUGCUAGGAUUACAGGCGUGAGCCACCGCGCCCGGACACCAGCAGGUUUUUGACUCAUGGGCUAAAUCAAAUCCUCUCCGAUAUAAAAUAUAAUAGAGAAUAGGAAUAUGGUCACUACCAUAAUACUCUCAUUUGGAAAAUGGAAGAAUAAGAAACAAACAUCCUCUUUUCUAAAGUAAAUUAAUACAUACAUGUGAAAAGUAUCUGCUCUGCUACUCAAGAGAUUUUCCUUGAUGAAUAUUUAUGGCAGUUCUGGGUUUCGCUCUCUUGAACGUUUUUCUCUGCUUAGAAACUUCUUGGCCACAUCUGAGAUUGGACUGAGAAAGAAAAAUUAUGUCCUUAAAACCUGCCUAACAUUUACCCAAGUCAUUGUAGUUUGUUGUUCAUUUAUUUAGGUAAUAAUACACUUGCUGCAAAAC
RNAcentral lists this long non-coding RNA (4043 nucleotides) under Homo sapiens (human). Its description in RNAcentral is "HSALNT0272014". Lineage: Eukaryota; Metazoa; Chordata; Mammalia; Primates; Hominidae. The record is from RNAcentral.